Molecule: long non-coding RNA, 392 nt
Organism: Cucurbita maxima (winter squash)
Lineage: Eukaryota; Viridiplantae; Streptophyta; Magnoliopsida; Cucurbitales; Cucurbitaceae
Exons: 3
Source: RefSeq, a predicted model, not a curated record
GCGCCGCCGGGAGGGGCUGGGCAGCGGAGAGGGAGCGCCGAAGGAGGGGGGGAGAGGCGGACAUUAUGGCCUUGAUUUUGUCGAUGAAAUUGGCAGUUGGGUCGAGACUGACGGAGGGGCGAAGAGGCACGAUGUUGACGGCCGAGGAUUUCUGGAGGAGGAGGGACUCGGCGGCGGAGGUGCCAGAGCAAACGACGAAGAGGGUGGCGUGGAGGUUGUGGUGGUGGACGAGGCGGUGGGCUAGCUCAAGGAAGGGAAUGAGGUGGCCCAUGCCGGGGCUGACCAGCAAAGCAAAGCAUGGGUUUGGGAUUCUUGGGCUGUCAUGGCUAUGCGUAAAAUAUGAAAACAGAGCACAAGAUGAGGAAGCUCUGUCUCUGUUUUCGAAUGGGAUG